GGGCAGCAUGGUCUUAGCUUGCUAAGGCCGAUGGCGACCGGCGCACGGGUGAGUAACACGUAUCCAACCUGCCGUCUACUCUUGGACAGCCUUCUGAAAGGAAGAUUAAUACAAGAUGGCAUCAUGAGUUCACAUGUUCACAUGAUUAAAGGUAUUCCGGUAGACGAUGGGGAUGCGUUCCAUUAGAUAGUAGGCGGGGUAACGGCCCACCUAGUCUUCGAUGGAUAGGGGUUCUGAGAGGAAGGUCCCCCACAUUGGAACUGAGACACGGUCCAAACUCCUACGGGAGGCAGCAGUGAGGAAUAUUGGUCAAUGGGCGAGAGCCUGAACCAGCCAAGUAGCGUGAAGGAUGACUGCCCUAUGGGUUGUAAACUUCUUUUAUAAAGGAAUAAAGUCGGGUAUGGAUACCCGUUUGCAUGUACUUUAUGAAUAAGGAUCGGCUAACUCCGUGCCAGCAGCCGCGGUAAUACGGAGGAUCCGAGCGUUAUCCGGAUUUAUUGGGUUUAAAGGGAGCGUAGAUGGAUGUUUAAGUCAGUUGUGAAAGUUUGCGGCUCAACCGUAAAAUUGCAGUUGAUACUGGAUAUCUUGAGUGCAGUUGAGGCAGGCGGAAUUCGUGGUGUAGCGGUGAAAUGCUUAGAUAUCACGAAGAACUCCGAUUGCGAAGGCAGCCUGCUAAGCUGCAACUGACAUUGAGGCUCGAAAGUGUGGGUAUCAAACAGG
This 720-nucleotide ribosomal RNA is filed under the name uncultured Bacteroidales bacterium. Its description in RNAcentral is "bacterial SSU rRNA". It matches the Rfam family "Bacterial small subunit ribosomal RNA", at positions 67 to 776 of the family's 1533-position model. Lineage: Bacteria; Pseudomonadati; Bacteroidota; Bacteroidia; Bacteroidales. The record is from RNAcentral.